Lolium perenne is the source of this 1467-nucleotide non-coding RNA. Lineage: Eukaryota; Viridiplantae; Streptophyta; Magnoliopsida; Poales; Poaceae. The record is from RefSeq and is a predicted model, not a curated record.
UAAGGGCACACAGUUUCAUCUCCACCCGGCUCCAACACACAGCUGCUACCCACACACGCUCUCCUUUCCACGCAAUGGCCGCCGCCGCCGCCGCCGCGGAAGAGGACCACCGCCGCUGGGUCGCCUGCGCCGUCGCGCUCGACCGCCUGCCGGCUGUGGGCUCGGAGGUCUACUACUUCGCUCAAGGGCACGCGGAGCAGUGGCCUUCUAUCGCCGCUCCGCAGGCUGCCAACCCCAUGCUUCCUUGCAGGGUCACCUCCAUCCAGCGCUUCACCGCCGGCGAAGAGCCCUACGCCCGCAUCUCCCUCGUCCCGGCCGACCACGGCAUCCAUCCCGCCGCCGACCCGCGCCCCAACCCCGACUCGUUCCUCUUCUUCCCAAAACCGCUCCAGCAGGCGGACAUUCAAAGAUCGUACUUGGCCGUACCAAAGGUCUGCGUCAACGCCUUGUUCCCGGAGAUCCAGGUCGGGAGCGACAUUCAAGCGAUUCAGAUGUCCGGGCUGGAUGGUGACACCUACCAAUUCCAGCACAAGGUUCUCGGCCGGAAGAAUCAUCUGAAGGGCGCUUGGGACAAGUUCAUCGCCAACAAGAGGCCGGACAUCGGUGACACGGUGCUGUUCGUCCGGCGCAGCGACCUGAGCUUUUUGAUCGAAGUACGUCGCCAGAACCCGGUCGUCGACCAUGGUGUGCAGCAGCCCGUCCAGGAACUGGAGCAAUCGUCGCAGUUGGCCGCCCAAAGAGAUGCAUUUACCGUCACCUACUACCCGGGGAGGGGUUCAGACUCGCCAUUCGUGGUACCUAGAGGAGCUGUCGAUGAAGCGAUGGGCAAGCAGUGGGAGUCAGACAUGGAGGUGCGCGUGCGGCCAAGGGACCUGGUGCUGCUCGCCGAUGAACCCCACGGCGCGGCAUUCCCCACGACAGGAACCAUCAGGGCGGUGACUCCCGACCAAGUGUGGCGCAACCUCCAGAUUGAUCUUGAUGGGUCAUCCUCGUCUUCGGCAUCCGCCACCAAGAACAUGUGGGAGGUCGAAGCUGUCCGUGCCCAUCCACCUCUUCCAAAAAGGACCAAGACCGGUCGUGAUCCACAGCUCUCGCGUGAUGAUCAGUCUGAAGAACCUGUGAGCAAGAUCAGAUUGAUGGGCUUCGACAUCAAAGCCAAAGACAUUGGCACAUCAUGAUGAUGGUCGAUUCUCCUCCUUCAGGCACUUGGUUCUGUUUUUUUGGCUGUAAUGGAAGGAUUGCGACAUCAUGGAGAGUUUGGGUGUUUAAGCCCCAUUGCCUAGUAUACUUCAGUACUAAUCUGGCCAACAACUGGUCUUAACUGUUUGGCCAGGUUAUUCUUGUCAGCAUAACCUGUUAAUGAGAUGGACGUCGGUGGUGCUUCUGAACACCUACUGCUGCAAAGAUUUUUGAUAAUGCUUUUUGAUUUCGUGGCACUAUAUGAUUGGUGUGUGACAACCUUUUGCA